Molecule: ribosomal RNA, 253 nt
Filed under: uncultured bacterium
Lineage: Bacteria
Description: partial 16S ribosomal RNA
Rfam family: Bacterial small subunit ribosomal RNA
Source: RNAcentral
UACGUAGGAGACAAACGUUAUCCGGAGUUACUGGGCGUAAAGGGCGUGUAGGUGGUUUCGUAAGUCUGGCGUGAAAUUUUUCGGCUUAACCGGGAAAGGUCGUCGGAUACUGCGGAACUAGAGGACGGUAGAGGCGUGUGGAAUUCCGGGUGUAGUGGUGAAAUGCGUAGAGAUCCGGAGGAACACCAGUGGCGAAGGCGACACGCUGGGCCGUACCUGACACUGAUGCGCGAAAGCAUGGGGAGCAAACAGG